CUUCCUCGAUCUGCUGCGGGCAGAUGAAGUGGAUGUGCGAGUCGAUGCCGCCGGCCGUCACGAUCAUGCCUUCGCAGCUGAUGAUCUCGGUGCCGGGGCCGAUGAUGAUGUCCACGCCCGGCUGAACGUCGGGGUUGCCGGCCUUGCCGAUGGCGGCAAUGCGCCCGCCUUUGAGGCCAAUGUCGGCCUUGACGAUGCCCCAGUGGUCGAGGAUCAGCGCAUUCGUCAUCACCGUGUCCAUGGCGCCUUCGGCAUUGGUUCUUUGCGACUGCGCCAUGCCAUCGCGAAU
Molecule: small RNA, 289 nt
Filed under: Polaromonas naphthalenivorans CJ2
Lineage: Bacteria; Pseudomonadati; Pseudomonadota; Betaproteobacteria; Burkholderiales; Comamonadaceae
Description: 5' ureB small RNA
Rfam family: 5' ureB small RNA
Source: Rfam by way of RNAcentral